Molecule: ribosomal RNA, 460 nt
Filed under: uncultured bacterium
Lineage: Bacteria
Description: partial 16S ribosomal RNA
Rfam family: Bacterial small subunit ribosomal RNA
Source: RNAcentral
CCUACGGGAGGCAGCAGUGAGGAAUAUUGGUCAAUGGACGAGAGUCUGAACCAGCCAAGUAGCGUGAAGGAUGACUGCCCUAUGGGUUGUAAACUUCUUUUAUAAAGGAAUAAAACGAGGCACGUGUGCCUUUUUGCAUGUACUUUAUGAAUAAGGAUCGGCUAAAUCCGUGCUAGCAGCCGCGGUAAUACGGAGGAUCCGAGCGGUAUCCGGUUUUAUUGGGUUUAAAGGUGGCGUGACUGGGUUGUUAAGUCAGUUGUGAAAGUUGUGGGCUCAACCGUCAAAUUGCAAUUGAUACUGGCAGUCUUGAGUAUAGUUGAGGUAGGCGGAAUGCGUGGUGUAGCGGUGAAAUGCUUAGAUAUCACGAAGAACCCCGAUUGCGAAGGCAGCUUACUAAACUGUGACUGACAUUGAGGCUCGAAAGUGUGGGUAUCAAACAGGAUUAGAUACCCUAGUAGUC